This 234-nucleotide ribosomal RNA is filed under the name Triticum aestivum (bread wheat). RNAcentral's name for it is "partial small subunit ribosomal RNA". The record is from RNAcentral. Lineage: Eukaryota; Viridiplantae; Streptophyta; Magnoliopsida; Poales; Poaceae.
AUGGAAAGACUGGGUUUCCCUGCAAGAUGGCGAGAUUGGAUCGCAGUGAUGCUCUCGUCAGCCUCCUCAUUGGUGUUGCUAAAUGGGGAGCCGGGCGACCACUUCUAGCACCUGCAAGGAUUAAGACAAGGAGACCCCCUCUCCCCCCUACUCUUUAUCCUUGCAAUCGACCCGCUUCAUCAUCUGCUUGCUGCUGCUUUAGACCUUGGGAUUUUGGCGCCUUUGCCAGGCUAA